RNAcentral lists this ribosomal RNA (301 nucleotides) under uncultured bacterium. RNAcentral describes it as "partial 16S ribosomal RNA". It matches the Rfam family "Bacterial small subunit ribosomal RNA", at positions 509 to 809 of the family's 1533-position model. The record is from RNAcentral.
CAGCAGCCGCGGGAAUACGAAGGGGGCUAGCGUUGCUCGGAAUUACUGGGCGUAAAGGGAGCGUAGGCGGAUCGUUAAGUUGGGGGUGAAAGCCCGGGGCUCGACCUCGGAAUUGCCUUCAAUACUGGCGAUCUUGAGUAUGGAAGAGGUAUGUGGAACUCCGAGUGUAGAGGUGAAAUUCGUAGAUAUUCGGAAGAACACCAGUGGCGAAGGCGACAUACUGGUCCAUUACUGACGCUGAGGCUCGAAAGCGUGGGGAGCAAACAGGAUUAGAUACCCCUGUAGUCCCUGUCUCUUAUAA